UUAUACCCUCAUUAGCUUUUAUCGUUACACAUACAACUAAUAAAAUAUUUAAUUCCUAAAUUUAAAUUAGCGAAGAAAUCAGUAGGUAAUUAUCAGAAGAACAAAAAAUAAGACUAAUCAAAAGGCAUGAGAAAUCAAUAUAUAUAUUUUUUAUACUGUAAAAGAUUCAACUAUCAAAUAAUAUAUUAUUAUAUACAUUAAUCCUUACAAAAUUGUUUGUGAACUAAAGUGAAAAAUAUGCAAAGUUUAGGAAUUAGGGACUAAAAUAAAAAAAAGUGAAAAGAUUGAGACCCAAUGUGCAAAUAAUUCUUCAAAAAAUUAAUGUGGGUCCCACAAUCCUCCAAAAUAAGGAGGGAUCUUUGGUUCCAAAUUAGUGUAUAAAAAUAAAUAAAUAAAUUAUAAAUAAAUAAAAAAAUAUUGUGAGAGAGAGUGAGAGAGAGAAAUUAGUAUAUAAAUAUAAAUAAACAAAUAAAUAUUGUGAGAGAGUGUGAGAGAGAGAAAAAGAAAAAAAGAAAAAAAAGUGAGACCCAGAUGGCCCCCCAAACGGGCCAAACCCGGGGGAAAAAUUUUAGAAUUCACCAGAUAUAUUAGUGACGUGGCGUGACAAACCAAUCAAAUAACUCAUUUUAAAGAUAUAUGUUCCAUCAUGAUUGUAAAAAAAUAUUUUUAUUGUACUUUUGUUUAAAAAUAAGAAAUGUGAUUGGUUUGUUAUUGAUGACGUGGUGCAAGCGUGACAGUGUAGAACUUCUCAACCCGGGGAGCCCUUGUAUGUAGGGAUGUCAACGGGUCGGGUCUCCGUCGGGUUUUUAAAAACCGGAACCCAAACCUGAAAACUAAAUUAAAACCCGUACCCGUUGAAUGAAGAUCUAAAGGAUAAAAAUUAUUAAAUAUUUUGUAUAUUAUAUAAAUAAAUAAAAAUAAAGUAUGUAUAUAUAUAAUUUAUUUGGGUUCGGGUCGGGUUCGGGUUCGGGUCGGGUAAAUACAAAAUUCAUAUUCGUAUCCAUAUCCGUCGAGUUUUAUUUUCUAUACCCAUAACCGAAUCCAUACCCGUUUAGUUCGAAUAAACCCGCACUGUUCGGAUUCGGGUUCGGAUAAUAUUCCGGAUAUCCAUAUCCAUUGACAUCCCUACUUAUACGGAUUCUAAUUCAUGUAUUUAUAAAUUAUAAAUAUAAAUUUCUCCUGCUUUUCUCUGUCUCCCUAGCUUGAACUGAUUGGUGCAGUGAGGGAGUAGGUAUGGCUACAUUGCACAGUGAGGGAGUAGGUGUGGCUACAUUGCCAUUGCCACCUCAAGUAAAGGGCCUUUUUUUCAAUUUAGCCCCCGAAUAAAUUUUUUUUAAAAAAAUAACCUUGUCAAAAUUUAAUUUGCAAAAAUGAUCCUGGCCUUGCCACGCAUGUGCCACGUCAGCGCCACGCGGGCAGGGCUGGAGCCAGGUGUUAAGUUGAAUACGGUGAACCAUUCACCGUGUUUCACACGGUGUAUUUAUAUUCCUUUUCUUCUUUUUUAGGAAUGUCAACGGAUCGGGUACGGGUUGGGUUUGGAUCGGGUUUUUAAAAAUCAAAAAUCAAAUUCGAAAAUCAAAUUAAAAUCCGAACACGAAUCCGAGCCCGGCGUGUUUUAAAAAUCCGAGCCCGUGUGAAACACAGUGAAUCAUUCACCGUGUUCAACUUAACAUACUGGCCCCAGUUCUGCCAGCGUGGCGCUGACGUGGCGCCUGCGUAACAGGGCCAGGGCCAGGGCCAUUUUUGCAAAUUAAAUUUUGACAGGACUGUUUUGAAAAUAAAAUUUUUUCAGGAGGCCAUUUCUAAAAAAAG
RNAcentral lists this long non-coding RNA (1812 nucleotides) under Ananas comosus (pineapple). Its description in RNAcentral is "long non-coding RNA (ACOM_LNC000083)". Lineage: Eukaryota; Viridiplantae; Streptophyta; Magnoliopsida; Poales; Bromeliaceae. The record is from RNAcentral.